CNCUNCGCGUGGGGGAUGAAUGGCUUCGGCCCGUAAACCCCUGUCAUUUGCGAUCAAACCUCAUUAUUUAAAAGAUGAUGAGCUGAUAGUAGCGAAAGAGGAAGGGACGGCUAACUCUGUGCCAGCAGCCGCGGUAAUACAGAGGUCCCAAGCGUUGUUCGGAUUCACUGGGCGUAAAGGGUGCGUAGGUGGUGAGGUAAGUCGGAUGUGAAAGCUCGGAGCUCAACUCCGAAAUGGCAUUGGAAACUACCUUGCUCGAGGGUUGGAGGGGGGACUGGAAUACUUGGUGUAGCAGUGAAAUGCGUAGAUAUCAAGUGGAACACCAGUGGCGAAGGCGAGUCCCUAGACAACUCCUGACACUGAGGCACGAAAGCUAGGGGAGCAAACAGGAUUAGAUACCCUGGUAGUCCUAGCCGUAAACGGUGCACGUUUGCUGUAAGAGGAAUCGACCCCUCUUGUGGCGGAGCCAACGCGUUAAACGUGCCGCCUGNGAAGUACGGUCGCAAGAUUAAAACUCAAAGGAAUUGACNGA
Molecule: ribosomal RNA, 532 nt
Filed under: uncultured bacterium
Lineage: Bacteria
Description: bacterial SSU rRNA
Rfam family: Bacterial small subunit ribosomal RNA
Source: RNAcentral